Molecule: ribosomal RNA, 253 nt
Filed under: uncultured bacterium
Lineage: Bacteria
Description: partial 16S ribosomal RNA
Rfam family: Bacterial small subunit ribosomal RNA
Source: RNAcentral
UACAGAGGUGGCAAGCGUUGUUCGGAAUUACUGGGCGUAAAGGGCGCGUAGGUGGCCUUGUUAGUCAGACGUGAAAUCCCCAAGCUUAACUUGGGAACUGCGUCUGAUACUGCAAGGCUUGAGUUCGGGAGAGGGAUGUGGAAUUCCAGGUGUAGCGGUGAAAUGCGUAGAUAUCUGGAGGAACACCGGUGGCGAAGGCGGCAUCCUGGACCGAAACUGACACUGAGGCGCGAAAGCUAGGGGAGCGAACAGG